GCAGGGAUCAGCAUCCCGAGGAUGCCGGGUCAGCUCCGGGUGCUGAUUUGCAGCUCGGGCAGAGGCAGCUGCGCCUUUUCCGUGAGAUUCGUGUCAGCGUUUGGCAAAAAUAGCAUCAGAGCCACUCUGGCUGCCCAGCCCGGCGUCUGGAGCCCGCUCCUCCCGACAGGAGCCAGGGAAUUGCGUGGCUUGGCUGAGCCAGGGGGAAGAGCACAAUUGGAUUCCUGAGCCUUGGCUAGGAAGGAAACACGUUAUUCCCUCGGGGCAAGGACUUCAGCAGCAUCCAGGAGCCUUGGAAUCUUCUUGGAGCAGCUCAGCAGUUCAGCUAAAGCUUCCCUCCAAACAUCAAAGAGCUGGAAGAGUAAAACCCAUCAGAAUUUUCCUAAUCAAAACCACGCGUAAUUGUCAAGGCAAGGCAGAUAACAGAAGUCGGGCAAGCUCUGUGAACCCCCAGCUUCACUCAGACUUAGCAAUUAAGGAGCUGCGAGGCUGAGGAGGGGGGAAAGUCGGAGCUCUCCAGCACCAAUUAGCAGUUAAUGAACAUCAGCAAUCCCCCUGGAGAUGGGGGAAAUGAAACCAGGACCAAAAUGCCACCCGCGAUUUGAGCCGGCCUAAAACCGCGCAUCCGCUGCGGGGGAUGCUCUGUGCCCCUGGAAAAGGAGGAAGGCUCGGAAUUCCGUGCAAGGUUGGGUUGGAAGGUUCAGAAUUCCAUGGAAGUGUUGGUUUUCCCAGGUCAGGCAGCAGCACGAGGGAGGGAGGGAGCCUGGAAUAAUUUCAGCAGCGCUGCCAUUCCACGUGAAAUCAGAGGCUGAAAGGAAGUCAGUCAAUUUAAACCCGCUCCUGAAGGGGAAUAAUUAAACACUCCAAAGAUGUGGGAGAAUUUUAAGCAGUCAGCGAGGA
Molecule: long non-coding RNA, 900 nt
Organism: Catharus ustulatus (Swainson's thrush)
Lineage: Eukaryota; Metazoa; Chordata; Aves; Passeriformes; Turdidae
Exons: 3
Source: RefSeq, a predicted model, not a curated record